AUUUCUUUUUUCCACCGGCGGUGACUCCAACCGUCGCCGUCUCAACUCCGCCUUUCCUCACCUUCUAUUUCUCCCUUGGGAGAUCGGAUCCCGUCACCAACCGGUCGAGCGCUGGGAUUCUUGACCCAUGGCGACCGCUCAGGACCCACCGCGCGGCGAGCUCGAGCCCAAUCUCCGCCACCGCCUCCCCCUCCCGAGAUGGGGCGACCGGCGAACAACUCGCCGCGCCCCUGCCGAACGAAGCGGCGGAGAUGGAACCCCGACCGCGGGGCAGCUCGGCUGCGGGAGAUUCCCUCUGGCGCAGGACGGAGUCGGUGGGGGCGAGGACGGAGGGCUGGAAGAGCUGAGGGCGAAGCUGAUGGGCCAUCUCCGGGUGGCUGCCGACCGGAUGAAGAUUGCGACGCCGGAGGCGGCCCCGGAGGCCUCGAGGCCGUGGAACCUGAGGGCCAGGAAGACCCCAAACGGGAACCCGGUGUGCGCGAUCGCCGGGGCCACCGCCGCCCCGGCUGCGGCGGCGGGAUCCGCGGCGGAGGAGGAGAGGAAGAUAGGCCUGUCGGUGACGCUUACGGCGGAGGAGAUCGAGGAGGACAUCUACUCCGUGACGGGAUCACGGCCUCGCCGGCGGCCAAAAAAGCGGCCAAGGGUUGUACAACGGCAGAUUGACAGUCCUUCAAUGAAGGAGAAUCUACAUGAACUUUGAUCAAGUCAGUUUAAUUCUGCCAGAAGGUGUUCAAUUACUGUCACAUGGAGAACUUUAAACCAGGACGUGCUGAAUAACGUAAUUCAUUAGUGGCUAAAACUGCCCCUUCAGUACCUUGUAGCGCUUGUACAGCCUUUGAGCAUUGUGAUUUUCAGCUUAAAUAGGCCUGGUUUGGUCUAGACUGAUCUGGUUUGCACAGGGGAUGAUAGAGAACUUGUCGCUCUUCCCUGGGCUGUGGCUGUCUGACAUCACAGUAGAGGCUUACAAAGUUGACGACGACUAAACCCAUGCUCGCGUAGCCUUGGUCGUUCCCAUCUCAAAGUUCAUGCCCUCCUUUCAUCACCCUCAAAUGUUACAGCUAGUCCGCUGCUGCAGUGAAAUCAUGUUUGGUUUCUUAAAUGUAUAGUGCUUUACAAAAAGAAAUUGGAUCCUGUAAAUGCUUUUCCCUCUGUCAGAUAGCAGAGCAUAGCAGAAACUCGAACCCUCUUUUGCCUUGCUCACAGCAUAUAUGGAAGCUGCUAUUUGAGUUUUGUGAAGUAGCUAAACUAGCAAUGCAAAGAAGUCUUUUAGUGCAAAAUUCUAAAUUGUUACUUGUGACAAUGGUUCCUACUUUGUGAAUUUCACAUCCCUGGAUUUGUAUAAUCUACAUGGAAAUGUUCACAUGAAUAAGAUGGCACUCAACUUAAACAAGUUGUGUUCCAUUUUCAACUUUGUUCUAGUGGUAAAAGUUGAAAGCUGCCACAAUUUUGUCGAGAUGUUGGUGAAACUUUAUCUAAUCACUUGUGUUUAUCUUGUUUUAAUUCUGUGUAUAUUCUGUUCAUCUUA
RNA transcript from Zingiber officinale, 1525 nucleotides. RefSeq lists it as uncharacterized. The record is from RefSeq and is a predicted model, not a curated record. The transcript has 3 exons. Lineage: Eukaryota; Viridiplantae; Streptophyta; Magnoliopsida; Zingiberales; Zingiberaceae.